GAAACUCAAAAACCUAAAUCGAAACCCUGCUGUCUCUCUUCCAUGAUUCCUACUGGAAACGAUACUUGAAGUAGGAUUUUUGCAAGAUUUCUCCUGCAAGAGUUGAUUUAUCUUCUCCUUCUGUCAAUUUCACCGUUAUUCAAACCAGAAAUAUCAAGAAAUCGGUAAGAGAUCCUCGGCCAAAAAAUAGAUCUCCGACCGGUCAUCAGUUCUAUUUCCUUGAGUUAGAUUCUUUAUCCAGAUGGGGAAGAAAUCUUGAAGGAAAUUCCUGACAUAUCAAUUAUGGAUUGAAUGAACUAGUACUCAAAUUCAAGGACUCUUUUUCGGCAGCAGAAGUUCAUGGCACCAGACUUAUUGUUGCAUUUGAUAGUUUACCUUCCGUUCUUGCAAGAAUUAGUACUUUUUUGUUUCCGUAAAAAAAACACAAUACUCUUUUGUGUUAACAGUACUACUAUCUUUUGUGUUAAAAUUUCUAGUUUCUGAACUUAGUAGUUUUAUUUGUUUUA
Long non-coding RNA from Papaver somniferum (opium poppy), 506 nucleotides. RefSeq lists it as uncharacterized. Lineage: Eukaryota; Viridiplantae; Streptophyta; Magnoliopsida; Ranunculales; Papaveraceae. The transcript has 3 exons. The record is from RefSeq and is a predicted model, not a curated record.